RNAcentral lists this ribosomal RNA (253 nucleotides) under uncultured bacterium. Its description in RNAcentral is "partial 16S ribosomal RNA". It matches the Rfam family "Bacterial small subunit ribosomal RNA", at positions 524 to 776 of the family's 1533-position model. The record is from RNAcentral.
UACGUAGGGUGCGAGCGUUGUCCGGAAUUACUGGGCGUAAAGAGCUCGUAGGUGGUUUGUCGCGUUGUCCGUGAAAACUCACAACUCAAUUGUGGGCGUGCGGGCGAUACGGGCAGACUGGAGUACUGCAGGGGAGACUGGAAUUCCUGGUGUAGCGGUGGAAUGCGCAGAUAUCAGGAGGAACACCGGUGGCGAAGGCGGUUCUCUGGGCAUUACCUGACGCUGAGGAGCGAAAGUGUGGGGAGCGAACAGG